RNAcentral lists this long non-coding RNA (1090 nucleotides) under Monodelphis domestica (gray short-tailed opossum). RNAcentral describes it as "lncRNA (ENSMODG00000039410.1)". Lineage: Eukaryota; Metazoa; Chordata; Mammalia; Didelphimorphia; Didelphidae. The record is from RNAcentral.
GUAAGUAAGGAAGGAAGGAAGGAAGGAAGAAAGGAAGGAAGAAAGAAAGAAAGAAAGAAAGGAAAGAAAGAAGAAAAGAAGGAAAGAGAAAAGAGAGGAAAGAAAGAGGGAGGAAGAGAAGAAGAGAGAAAGAGAGAAGGAAGGAGAGGAGAGAAAGAGAGAGAAAGGGAGGAAGAGAGGAAGGAAGGAAGAAAGAAAGAAAGAAAGAAAGAAAGAAAGAAAGAAAGAAAGAAAGAAAGAAAGAAAGAAAGAAGAAAGGAAGGAGGGAGGGAGGGAAGGAAGAAAGGAAGAAAGGAAGGAAGGAAGGAAGGAAGGAAGAAAGAAAGAAAGAAAGAAAGAAAGAAAGAAAGAAAGAAAGAAAGAAAGAAAGAAAGAAAGAAAGAAAGAAAGAAAGAAAGAAAGAAAGAAAGAAAGAAAGAAAGAAAGAAAGAAAGAAAGAAAGAAAGAAAGAAAGAAAGAAAGAAAGAAAGAAAGAAAGAAAGAAAGAAAGGGAGAGAAAGAGAGAGAGAAAGAGAGAGAGGGAGAGAGAAAGAAAGGAAGAAAAAGAAAGAAAGAGGGAGGGAGGGAAGAAGGGAGGGAGGAAGGAUGAGAGAGAGGGAGAGGAGGGAGGGAGGAAAAGAGAGAAGAGAAGGAAGAAAAGAGAGAAAAGAAAGAAAGAGAAAAGAGAAAGCAAAGGGGGGCAGCUGGGUAGCUCAGUGAAUUGAGAACCAGGCCUAGAGAUGGGAGGUCCUAGGUUCAAAUCUGGCCUCAGCCACUUCCCAGCUGGGUGACCCUGGGCAAGUCACUUGACCCCCAUUGCCUAGCCCUUACCACUCUUCUGUCUUGGAGCCAAUACACAGUAUUGACUCCAAGACAGAAGGUAAAGGUUUAAAAAAAAAAAGAGAGAGAAAGCAAAGAAGUAAGGCUGGGGAAGGGAGAGAGGGGGGAAGAAAAGAAUAAGAAAGAAAGAAGGAAAGAAAGAAAAGAGAAAGAAAGGAAGGAGGGAGGAAAGAAAGAGAAAAAGAAGAGGAGAGAUAGAAAAAGAAAUUAUAUCAAUGAAACAUUUAUAAAAUACUUGGAAGAGAACAGAAGGAAGACUAGUAUUAGAAUU